This 497-nucleotide ribosomal RNA is filed under the name uncultured bacterium. Its description in RNAcentral is "partial 16S ribosomal RNA". It matches the Rfam family "Bacterial small subunit ribosomal RNA", at positions 28 to 507 of the family's 1533-position model. The record is from RNAcentral.
GGCGAACGCUGGCGGCGUGCCUAAUACAUGCAAGUUGAGCGCUGAAGGUUGGUACUUGUACCGACUGGAUGAGCAGCGAACGGGUGAGUAACGCGUGGGGAAUCUGCCUUUGAGCGGGGGACAACAUUUGGAAACGAAUGCUAAUACCGCAUAAAAACUUUAAACACAAGUUUUAAGUUUGAAAGAUGCAAUUGCAUCACUCAAAGAUGAUCCCGCGUUGUAUUAGCUAGUUGGUGAGGUAAAGGCUCACCAAGGCGAUGAUACAUAGCCGACCUGAGAGGGUGAUCGGCCACAGUGGGACUGAGACACGGCCCAAACUCCUACGGGAGGCAGCAGUAGGGAAUCUUCGGCAAUGGACGAAAGUCUGACCGAGCAACGCCGCGUGAGUGAAGAAGGUUUUCGGAUCGUAAAACUCUGUUGGUAGAGAAGAACGUUGGUGGGAGUGGAAAGCUCAUCAAGUGACGGUAACUACCCAGAAAGGGACGGCUAACUACGUG